RNAcentral lists this ribosomal RNA (298 nucleotides) under uncultured Bacteroides sp. Its description in RNAcentral is "partial 16S ribosomal RNA". It matches the Rfam family "Bacterial small subunit ribosomal RNA", at positions 48 to 339 of the family's 1533-position model. The record is from RNAcentral. Lineage: Bacteria; Pseudomonadati; Bacteroidota; Bacteroidia; Bacteroidales; Bacteroidaceae.
UUAACACAUGCAAGUCGAGGGGCAUCAGGAAGAAAGCUUGCUUUCUUUGCUGGCGACCGGCGCACGGGUGAGUAACACGUAUCCAACCUGCCCUUUACUCGGGGAUAGCCUUUCGAAAGAAAGAUUAAUACCGGAUGGCAUAGUUUUCCCGCAUGGGUUUUAUAUUAAAGAAAUUCGGUAUGAGAUGGGGAUGCGUUCCAUUAGUUUGUUGGCGGGGUAACGGCCCACCAAGACUACGAUGGAUAGGGGUUCUGAGAGGAAGGUCCCCACAUUGGAACUGAGACACGGUCCAAACUCC